GGCACUCGACUCGGCUCUGCAGAGUCCAGCGCUGAAGCUACACCAGGUGAACCGGGAGAACAUGGAAUGGUACAUGGACCAGCUCCUCAUCGACCGCGAGCAGAAAGCACUGGAGCUGGGGAUGGUGGACCCGCUGGAGAAGGAAGAGCUCCAGGCCGCUGUUCAUGCAGCCAACAAAAAUGCCAGCGUGCAUCUGAGCAUGCUGCAGUCCGUGGCCAGGAUCAACACAGCCGUACGCAAGGGGAUCCCCGCUGGGACGACG
Amblyraja radiata (thorny skate) is the source of this 262-nucleotide long non-coding RNA. RefSeq lists it as uncharacterized. The record is from RefSeq and is a predicted model, not a curated record. Lineage: Eukaryota; Metazoa; Chordata; Chondrichthyes; Rajiformes; Rajidae. The transcript is spliced from 3 exons.